This 423-nucleotide ribosomal RNA is filed under the name uncultured bacterium. Its description in RNAcentral is "bacterial SSU rRNA". It matches the Rfam family "Bacterial small subunit ribosomal RNA", at positions 202 to 622 of the family's 1533-position model. The record is from RNAcentral.
AAGGCCUUGCGCUUUUGGAGUGGCCGAUGCCUGAUUAGCUAGUUGGUGGGGUAAGGGCCUACCAAGGCGACGAUCAGUAGUUGGUCUGAGAGGACGACCAGCCACACUGGGACUGAGACACGGCCCAGACUCCUACGGGAGGCAGCAGUGGGGAAUUUUGGACAAUGGGCGCAAGCCUGAUCCAGCAAUGCCGCGUGAGUGAAGAAGGCCUUCGGGUUGUAAAGCUCUUUCAGUUGAGAAGAAAAGGUUGUGGUAAAUAAUCACAAUUGAUGACGGUAUCGACAGAAGAAGCACCGGCUAACUACGUGCCAGCAGCCGCGGUAAUACGUAGGGUGCAAGCGUUAAUCGGAGUUACUGGGCGUAAAGGGUGCGCAGGCGGCUUUGUAAGUCAGAUGUGAAAUCCCCGGGCUUAACCUGGGAAUU